This 253-nucleotide ribosomal RNA is filed under the name uncultured bacterium. RNAcentral describes it as "partial 16S ribosomal RNA". It matches the Rfam family "Bacterial small subunit ribosomal RNA", at positions 524 to 776 of the family's 1533-position model. The record is from RNAcentral.
UACGUAGGGUGCAGGCGUUAAUCGGAAUUACUGGGCGUAAAGCGCACGUAGGCGGAUUGCUAAGUCAGGGGUGAAAUCCUGGAGCUCAACUCCAGAACUGCCUUUGAUACUGGCAAUCUCGAGUCCGGGAGAGGUGAGUGGAACUGCGAGUGUAGAGGUGAAAUUCGUAGAUAUUCGCAAGAACACCAGUGGCGAAGGCGGCUCACUGGCCCGGUACUGACGCUGAGGUGCGAAAGCGUGGGGAGCAAACAGG